UACGGGGGGAGCAAGCGUUGUUCGGAUUUACUGGGCGUAAAGGGCGCGUAGGCGGUCAGCACAAGUCAAUUGUGAAAUCUCCGGGCUUAACUCGGAAAGGUCAACUGAUACUGUGCGACUAGAGUGCGGAAGGGGCAACUGGAAUUCUCGGUGUAGCGGUGAAAUGCGUAGAUAUCGAGAGGAACACCUGCGGCGAAGGCGGGUUGCUGGGCCGACACUGACGCUGAUGCGCGAAAGCCAGGGGAGCGAACGGG
Molecule: ribosomal RNA, 254 nt
Filed under: uncultured bacterium
Lineage: Bacteria
Description: partial 16S ribosomal RNA
Rfam family: Bacterial small subunit ribosomal RNA
Source: RNAcentral